RNA transcript from Lineus longissimus, 1352 nucleotides. RefSeq lists it as uncharacterized. The transcript is spliced from 4 exons. The record is from RefSeq and is a predicted model, not a curated record. NCBI's taxonomy places the organism in Eukaryota, Metazoa, Nemertea, Pilidiophora, Heteronemertea, Lineidae.
CCUCUGAUGUGCACGCCAUGCCGAAUCAGCCUGGUGAACGGUCUGAACCAGGAAAAGCAUUCGUGACUGUCUUGGAUUUUACAUGCGUUGAUGAGCUGGUAAUGUGUAUCCUCAAUCAUCAUUCUAAUAUUCUGGAUAAAACGUCACUGACAAAUAAGAUCUGUUGCAAUGCCAGGUAAAAUUAAAAACUUGAUUCUCGACCGAACAAUUUCUUGAAAUCGCGGCGGAUCUCUAACAUAGACUGAAAUGAAUGAAAUCUCCGAAAUCAUAUCUAUUCGCUUUCAUCACAAGCUGCUAAAAGACUGCCGGAAACAGGCCUUACAACACACACAGCCCUGCUGAAUAGAGGGGUUUCAUAUCCAGCAAAGACUGUAGCUUUCCCUUCAUUGAGAUCUCCUCACAUCUAAAAUGCACAAGAAUAUCUUGAAGGUGAAAGCGUCAGGGAAACGCUUUGCAAAGAGUGUUGUCAAAAAGGUCAGACGGAAACUGAAAACUAGACGAUAUGUUCUAAGGAUGAUCUUUAGGUCUAUGGUAAUCUCCCUUUUAUGCUUAAGCUUCAUCUUAACCGUCCUGUCCCUUCGAAGCGACAUUAUAAAAAUCACAUUCGUCUUCCUCACCGUGACGUGUCUUGGUGCGACAGGGAUGAGCUUUCAUGACCAACAUAUGAAGUUCUACAUCGAUAAGCCAGCGAUUUGGGUGUUUUCUCUCUUCCUCCUUCCCCCUUAUCUCUGCCGAAAUCCCUUCAAUGAUGUCAUCAAUAUAAUCGGUGCUCUGAUUGGUUGCAGUGCGGUUAUUUUGAUUUGGAAGAUACCACGAUUGGGCGACGUGGGCCAAAAGAAUUCUAUUCCCUCUGGUGUAAUAGAGCUAAUCCUAGCUUUGACUUUCGUGUCUUGGCACUCGUGAUCAGCUUCGCCGUCUAUGGAGGUCUUUUGGUGGCGUCGAUGACUGUGCCUUUACUGGUCGGUGGACUUAACAUGGUUCUUGCCUGGACGUACGGGAGUUGGACAGCGGGCGUAAUUGGUCUGUGGAUAGCGUUUAAUUCAGUGGUGACGCCUCAAUGGGCUUUGGUUUUCGACUAGAUCAAGCCAAUUGUCCUUUUUUGUAGGACUCGAUAAUUCUCAAUUGUUUUUUUCAGAAGGCACAAAAGAUACAACUACGCCACUCUAUGGCCCCGCUCUUUAAAAAUAUGAUCGACUACAUGUAUUGCGAUAACUCUCCCGUAAGUUCAGACUCUGACGUCAUACUGACACCGUAUCAUGCGUUACUCACUAUACUAUCCGAGCCGAUUCCAUGACUGCGAGAUAGUAUUUGAAGCGGGGGUCAGUAAAAGUUCCGCUGACUUGACAUUGAUG